ACGCACGCUGGCGGCGUGCUUCACACAUGCAAGUCGAACGGAAAGGCCCUGCCUUUGUGGGGUGCUCGAGUGGCGAACGGGUGAGUAACACGUGAGUAACCUGCCCUUGACUUUGGGAUAACUUCAGGAAACUGGGGCUAAUACCGGAUAGGAGCUCCUGCUGCAUGGUGGGGGUUGGAAAGUUUCGGCGGUUGGGGAUGGACUCGCGGCUUAUCAGCUUGUUGGUGGGGUAGUGGCUUACCAAGGCUUUGACGGGUAGCCGGCCUGAGAGGGUGACCGGCCACAUUGGGACUGAGAUACGGCCCAGACUCCUACGGGAGGCAGCAGUGGGGAAUAUUGCACAAUGGGCGGAAGCCUGAUGCAGCAACGCCGCGUGCGGGAUGACGGCCUUCGGGUUGUAAACCGCUUUCGCCUGUGACGAAGCGUGAGUGACGGUAAUGGGUAAAGAAGCACCGGCUAACUACGU
This 466-nucleotide ribosomal RNA is filed under the name uncultured bacterium. RNAcentral's name for it is "partial 16S ribosomal RNA". It matches the Rfam family "Bacterial small subunit ribosomal RNA", at positions 29 to 506 of the family's 1533-position model. The record is from RNAcentral.